This 314-nucleotide ribosomal RNA is filed under the name uncultured eukaryote. RNAcentral describes it as "partial 18S ribosomal RNA". It matches the Rfam family "Eukaryotic small subunit ribosomal RNA", at positions 1470 to 1796 of the family's 1831-position model. The record is from RNAcentral.
CCCUUAGAUGUUCUGGGCCGCACGCGCGCUACACUGACGAAUGCAACGAGCUUAUAACCUUGGCCGAAAGGUCUGGGUAAUCUCCAAAUUUCGUCGUGAUGGGGAUAGAUUAUUGCAAUUAUUAAUCUUCAACGAGGAAUGCCUAGUAAGCGCAAGUCAUCAGCUUGCGUUGAUUACGUCCCUGCCCUUUGUACACACCGCCCGUCGCACCUACCGAUUGAAUGGUCCGGUGAAGCCUCCGGAUUGGCGCGCACCUCGGUGCCGCCGAGAAGUUGGCUAAACCUUACCAUUUAGAGGAAGGUGAAGUCGUANCA